RNAcentral lists this ribosomal RNA (468 nucleotides) under uncultured bacterium. RNAcentral's name for it is "partial 16S ribosomal RNA". It matches the Rfam family "Bacterial small subunit ribosomal RNA", at positions 28 to 507 of the family's 1533-position model. The record is from RNAcentral.
GACGAACGCUGGCGGCGUGCUUAACACAUGCAAGUCGAACGGCAAGGCCCUGCUUUUGUGGGGUGCUCGAGUGGCGAACGGGUGAGUAACACGUGAGUAACCUGCCCUUGACUUUGGGAUAACUUCAGGAAACUGGGGCUAAUACCGGAUAGCAGCUCCUGCUGCAUGGUGGGGGUUGGAAAGUUUCGGCGGUUGGGGAUGGACGCGCGGCUUAUCAGCUUGUUGGUGGGGUAGUGGCUUACCAAGGCUGUGACGGGUAGCCGGCCUGAGAGGGUGACCGGCCACAUUGGGACUGAGAUACGGCCCAGACUCCUACGGGAGACAGCAGGGGGGAAUAUUGCACAAUGGGCGGAAGCCUGAUGCAGCAACGCCGCGUGCGGGAUGACGGCCUUCGGGUUGUAAACCGCUUUCGCCUGUGACGAAGCGUGAGUGACGGUAAUGGGUAAAGAAGCACCGGCUAACUACGUG